This 1532-nucleotide ribosomal RNA is filed under the name Escherichia coli. Its description in RNAcentral is "bacterial LSU rRNA". It matches the Rfam family "Bacterial large subunit ribosomal RNA", at positions 1413 to 2925 of the family's 2925-position model. Lineage: Bacteria; Pseudomonadati; Pseudomonadota; Gammaproteobacteria; Enterobacterales; Enterobacteriaceae. The record is from RNAcentral.
AGUCGAUGGGAAACAGGUUAAUAUUCCUGUACUUGGUGUUACUGCGAAGGGGGGACGGAGAAGGCUAUGUUGGCCGGGCGACGGUUGUCCCGGUUUAAGCGUGUAGGCUGGUUUUCCAGGCAAAUCCGGAAAAUCAAGGCUGAGGCGUGAUGACGAGGCACUACGGUGCUGAAGCAACAAAUGCCCUGCUUCCAGGAAAAGCCUCUAAGCAUCAGGUAACAUCAAAUCGUACCCCAAACCGACACAGGUGGUCAGGUAGAGAAUACCAAGGCGCUUGAGAGAACUCGGGUGAAGGAACUAGGCAAAAUGGUGCCGUAACUUCGGGAGAAGGCACGCUGAUAUGUAGGUGAAGUCCCUCGCGGAUGGAGCUGAAAUCAGUCGAAGAUACCAGCUGGCUGCAACUGUUUAUUAAAAACACAGCACUGUGCAAACACGAAAGUGGACGUAUACGGUGUGACGCCUGCCCGGUGCCGGAAGGUUAAUUGAUGGGGUCAGCGCAAGCGAAGCUCUUGAUCGAAGCCCCGGUAAACGGCGGCCGUAACUAUAACGGUCCUAAGGUAGCGAAAUUCCUUGUCGGGUAAGUUCCGACCUGCACGAAUGGCGUAAUGAUGGCCAGGCUGUCUCCACCCGAGACUCAGUGAAAUUGAACUCGCUGUGAAGAUGCAGUGUACCCGCGGCAAGACGGAAAGACCCCGUGAACCUUUACUAUAGCUUGACACUGAACAUUGAGCCUUGAUGUGUAGGAUAGGUGGGAGGCUUUGAAGUGUGGACGCCAGUCUGCAUGGAGCCGACCUUGAAAUACCACCCUUUAAUGUUUGAUGUUCUAACGUGGACCCGUGAUCCGGGUUGCGGACAGUGUCUGGUGGGUAGUUUGACUGGGGCGGUCUCCUCCUAAAGAGUAACGGAGGAGCACGAAGGUUGGCUAAUCCUGGUCGGACAUCAGGAGGUUAGUGCAAUGGCAUAAGCCAGCUUGACUGCGAGCGUGACGGCGCGAGCAGGUGCGAAAGCAGGUCAUAGUGAUCCGGUGGUUCUGAAUGGAAGGGCCAUCGCUCAACGGAUAAAAGGUACUCCGGGGAUAACAGGCUGAUACCGCCCAAGAGUUCAUAUCGACGGCGGUGUUUGGCACCUCGAUGUCGGCUCAUCACAUCCUGGGGCUGAAGUAGGUCCCAAGGGUAUGGCUGUUCGCCAUUUAAAGUGGUACGCGAGCUGGGUUUAGAACGUCGUGAGACAGUUCGGUCCCUAUCUGCCGUGGGCGCUGGAGAACUGAGGGGGGCUGCUCCUAGUACGAGAGGACCGGAGUGGACGCAUCACUGGUGUUCGGGUUGUCAUGCCAAUGGCACUGCCCGGUAGCUAAAUGCGGAAGAGAUAAGUGCUGAAAGCAUCUAAGCACGAAACUUGCCCCGAGAUGAGUUCUCCCUGACCCUUUAAGGGUCCUGAAGGAACGUUGAAGACGACGACGUUGAUAGGCCGGGUGUGUAAGCGCAGCGAUGCGUUGAGCUAACCGGUACUAAUGAACCGUGAGGCUUAACCUU